Molecule: long non-coding RNA, 221 nt
Organism: Oncorhynchus keta (chum salmon)
Lineage: Eukaryota; Metazoa; Chordata; Actinopteri; Salmoniformes; Salmonidae
Exons: 3
Source: RefSeq, a predicted model, not a curated record
GAGCUAGAUAAACCACUGUUACCCCUAGAGGUGAACAAUGAGAGCUAGAUAAACCACCAUUACCCCUAGAGGUGAACAAUGAGAGCUAGAUAAACCACCAUUACCCCUAGAGGUGAACAAUGAGAGCUAGAUAAACCACCGUUACCCCUAGAGGUGAACAAUGAGAGCUAGAUAAACCACCGUUACCCCUAGAGGUGAACAAUGAGCUAGAUAAACCACCG